RNAcentral lists this ribosomal RNA (441 nucleotides) under Vreelandella aquamarina. Its description in RNAcentral is "bacterial SSU rRNA". It matches the Rfam family "Bacterial small subunit ribosomal RNA", at positions 89 to 532 of the family's 1533-position model. The record is from RNAcentral. Lineage: Bacteria; Pseudomonadati; Pseudomonadota; Gammaproteobacteria; Oceanospirillales; Halomonadaceae.
UGACGAGCGGCGGACGGGUGAGUAAUGCAUAGGAAUCUGCCCGAUAGUGGGGGAUAACCUGGGGAAACCCAGGCUAAUACCGCAUACGUCCUACGGGAGAAAGGGGGCUCCGGCUCCCGCUAUGGGAUGAGCCUAUGUCGGAUUAGCUGGUUGGUGAGGUAACGGCUCACCAAGGCCACGAUCCGUAGCUGGUCUGAGAGGAUGAUCAGCCACAUCGGGACUGAGACACGGCCCGAACUCCUACGGGAGGCAGCAGUGGGGAAUAUUGGACAAUGGGGGAAACCCUGAUCCAGCCAUGCCGCGUGUGUGAAGAAGGCCCUCGGGUUGUAAAGCACUUUCAGCGAGGAAGAACGCCUAGCGGUUAAUACCCGCUAGGAAAGACAUCACUCGCAGAAGAAGCACCGGCUAACUCCGUGCCAGCAGCCGCGGUAAUACGGAGGG